RNAcentral lists this small RNA (89 nucleotides) under Flavobacterium omnivorum. RNAcentral's name for it is "Flavo-1 RNA". The record is from RNAcentral. Lineage: Bacteria; Pseudomonadati; Bacteroidota; Flavobacteriia; Flavobacteriales; Flavobacteriaceae.
CCCUAGCCCUGAUGAUCGAAUUGCUCUCGCAAUUACCUUUUUCUGGCUUCUUUAGCCAGGAAAAGAUAAAGCGAACAGCAGGAAAUAGC